Molecule: long non-coding RNA, 1402 nt
Filed under: Mytilus galloprovincialis (Mediterranean mussel)
Lineage: Eukaryota; Metazoa; Mollusca; Bivalvia; Mytilida; Mytilidae
Source: RNAcentral
CACAUUAUAACUAGACCAUAUGUAGCUUGAAUGCUUUAAUUAUUUGUAAUUAUAACAUAUGUAUAUAUAUAUAUAAGGGUAGUUUUGAUUUUCCAUGGUAAAAAAAGGGGGAGGGGGUCAAAAUACCAUCGCAAAGUAAAAUUUAAAAAAGAUCUUUUCCAGCAAGUUAAAUACAUACAAACUACUUAUUUGUGUAUUCUAACUACAUAAAAGAGUUCGAAUUGCCAGAAUUUCUGAAAUUAAAGGCCUAGAGUAGGGGGUUCAAUAUACCGCAGGAGGGUCAAAAUACCAUGGCAAAGUAAAAUUUUCAAAAUAUCUUUUCCAUCAAAGUUAAUACAUACAAACUACUUUGUGUGUGUAUAUUAACUACAUAUAAGAGCUAAAAUUGCCAGAUUUUUUUGAAUUGUCUAUAGUAAGGGGUUCAAUAUACCGCAGGGGGGUCAAAAUACCAUGGCAAAGUAAAAUUUUCAAAAUAUCUUUUCCAUCAAAGUUAAUACAUACAAACUACUUGUGUGUGUGUAUAUUAACUACAAAUAAGAGCUAAAAUUGCCAGAUUUUUUUUAAUUGUCUAUAGUAAGGGGUUCAAUAUACCGCAGGGGGGUCAAAAUACCAUGGCAAAGUAAAAUUUUCAAAAUAUCUUUUCCAGCAAUUUUAAUACAUAGAAACUACUUAUUUGUGUAUUCUAACUACAUAAAAGAGUUUGAAUUGCCAGAAUUUCUGAAAUUAAAGGCCUUGAGUAGGGGGUUCAAUAUACCGCAGAGGGGUCAAAAUACCAUGGCAAAGUAAAAUUUUCAAAAUAACUUUUCCAGCAAGUUUAAUACAUACAGAUUGCUUAUUUGUGUAUUCUAACUACAUUAAAAAGUUUGAAAUGCCAGAACUUUAUAAAUUAAAGGUCUAGAGUGAGGGGUUCAAUAUACCGCAGGGGAGUCAAAAUACCAUGGCAAAGUAAAAUUUUCAAAAUAUCUUUUCCAUCAAAGUUAAUACAUACAAACUACUUGUGUGUGUAUAUUAACUACAAAUAAGAGCUAAAAUUGCCAGAUUUUUUUUGAAUUGUCUAUAGUAAGGGGUUCAAUAUACCGCAGGGGGGUCAAAAUACCAUGGCAAAGUAAAAUUUUCAAAAUAUCUUUUCCAUCAAAGUUAAUACAUACAAACUACUUGUGUGUGUAUAUUUACUACAAAUAAGAGCUGAAAUUGCCAGAUUUUUUUGAAUUGUCUAUAGUAAGGGGUUCAAUAUACCGCAGGGGGGUCAAAAUACCAUGGCAAAGUAAAAUUUUCAAAAUAUCUUUUCUAGCAAGUUAAAUACAUACAAACUACUUAUUUGUGUAUUCUAACUACAUAAAAGAGUUUGAAUUGCCAGAAUUUCUGAAAUUAAAGGCCUUGAGUAGGGGGUUCAAUAUACCGC